GACGAACGCUGGCGGCGUGCUUAACACAUGCAAGUCGAACGGAAAGGCCCUGCUUUUGUGGGGUGCUCGAGUGGCGAACGGGUGAGUAACACGUGAGUAACCUGCCCUUGACUUUGGGAUAACUUCAGGAAACUGGGGCUAAUACCGGAUAGGAGCUCCUGCUGCAUGGUGGGGGUUGGAAAGUUUCGGCGGUUGGGGAUGGACUCGCGGCUUAUCAGCUUGUUGGUGGGGUAGUGGCUUACCAAGGCUUUGACGGGUAGCCGGCCUGAGAGGGUGACCGGCCACAUUGGGACUGAGAUACGGCCCAGCCUCCUACGGGAGGCAGCAGUGGGGAAUAUUGCACAAUGGGCGGAAGCCUGAUGCAGCAACGCCGCGUGCGGGAUGACGGCCUUCGGGUUGUAAACCGCUUUCGCCUGUGACGAAGCGUGAGUGAGGGUAAUGGGUAAAGAAGCACCGGCUAACUACGUG
This 468-nucleotide ribosomal RNA is filed under the name uncultured bacterium. RNAcentral describes it as "partial 16S ribosomal RNA". It matches the Rfam family "Bacterial small subunit ribosomal RNA", at positions 28 to 507 of the family's 1533-position model. The record is from RNAcentral.